CAAGCAGUUGUUAACCGAGCCCGUCGGUACCUAAGUCCAGCAAGGGAUAUGGUCGUCGGGCCGUGGCAUCAGGCCACCGGGGUAGAUUGAGAAAGUUAAUCUGCCUUCCUCUAUUUUAGGAAAGGUGACACAUGCGAGAGCU
This 142-nucleotide non-coding RNA is filed under the name Ferrimonas balearica. RNAcentral's name for it is "MoCo sequence". It matches the Rfam family "Molybdenum/Tungsten riboswitch aptamer (Moco RNA motif)". The record is from RNAcentral. Lineage: Bacteria; Pseudomonadati; Pseudomonadota; Gammaproteobacteria; Alteromonadales; Ferrimonadaceae.